AGUGAACGCUGGCGGUAGGCCUAACACAUGCAAGUCGAACGGCAGCACAGUAAGAGCUUGCUCUUACGGGUGGCGAGUGGCGGACGGGUGAGGAAUACAUCGGAAUCUACUUUUUCGUGGGGGAUAACGUAGGGAAACUUACGCUAAUACCGCAUACGACCUACGGGUGAAAGCAGGGGAUCUUCGGACCUUGCGCGAUUGAAUGAGCCGAUGUCGGAUUAGCUAGUUGGGGGGGUAAAGGCCCACCAAGGCGACGAUCCGUAGCUGGUGUGAGAGGAUGAUCGGCCACACUGGAACGGAGACACGGUCCAGACUCCUACGGGAGGCAGCAGUGGGGAAUAUUGGACAAUGGGCGCAAGCCUGAUCCAGCCAUACCGCGUGGGUGAAGAAGGCCUUCGGGUUGUAAAGCCCUUUUGUUGGGAAAGAAAAGCAGCAGGUUAAUACCCCGCUGUUCUGACGGUACCCAAAGAAUAAGCACCGGCUAACUUCGUG
Molecule: ribosomal RNA, 492 nt
Filed under: uncultured bacterium
Lineage: Bacteria
Description: partial 16S ribosomal RNA
Rfam family: Bacterial small subunit ribosomal RNA
Source: RNAcentral